CGUCAAAUCAGCACGGCCCUUACGUCCGGGGCGACACACGUGUUACAAUGGGGGGUACAGAAGGUCGCUACCACGCGAGUGGAUGCCAAUCUUAAAAGCCUCUCUCAGUUCGGAUCGAAGUCUGCAACCCGACUUCGUGAAGCUGGAUUCGCUAGUAAUCGCGCAUCAGCCAUGGCGCGGUGAAUACGUUCCCGGGCCUU
Molecule: ribosomal RNA, 200 nt
Filed under: uncultured prokaryote
Description: partial 16S ribosomal RNA
Rfam family: Bacterial small subunit ribosomal RNA
Source: RNAcentral